GAGGGUAUAGCUCAGUGAUAGAGCGUAUGCUUAGCACGCAUGAGGUCCUGGUUCAACCCCCAGUGCCUCCA
Transfer RNA from Camelus ferus (Wild Bactrian camel), 71 nucleotides. It matches the Rfam family "tRNA". Rfam says of the family: Transfer RNA (tRNA) molecules are approximately 80 nucleotides in length. The record is from Rfam. Lineage: Eukaryota; Metazoa; Chordata; Mammalia; Artiodactyla; Camelidae.